Molecule: ribosomal RNA, 253 nt
Filed under: uncultured bacterium
Lineage: Bacteria
Description: partial 16S ribosomal RNA
Rfam family: Bacterial small subunit ribosomal RNA
Source: RNAcentral
UACGGAGGGUGCAAGCGUUAUCCGUAAUUAUUGGGUUUAAAGGGUCCGUAGGCGGGCGAAUAAGUCAGUGGUGAAAUCCUGCAGCUUAACUGUAGAACUGCCAUUGAUACUGUUUGUCUUGAAUUCGAUUGAAGUGGGCGGAAUAUGACAUGUAGCGGUGAAAUGCAUAGAUAUGUCAUAGAACACCAAUUGCGAAGGCAGCUCACUAAGUCUGGAUUGACGCUGAGGGACGAAAGCGUGGGGAUCAAACAGG